AAAACACACACAAUUUUUAAAACACGAAAAACAACCGCUUCUUCCUCUUUUUCCAUCACUGUGCGUGAGAGAACUACGGAAGAACUGCCGCCUUCUUCCUCAACAAUCGACCACCACCCGCCACCUAGACCACCAGAUCCCACUACCAUUUGAACCCCCUCACCUUCGUCUUCAACCUCUAGUCAUCACCGGGCUACGGAGUUGUCGAAAACAGCCCCAAUCACCACCCAAAACCGCCCUACCAAUCACGAUUUUCGCCAUAUUUCCACCACCGUCAGCCACCGUUUCGAUUGCGGACCGCCACCACUUUCGUGCUCUCAACGAGGCGCAUUCAGUACCACCAUGGGUCACCUGUAAUUUUGUCCAGAAUCGAGAGAGCUUGUGAAAGCAGUUCACCCGUUUAGACCCAAAACUGUAAUCUGGGUUUUGAAUAAAAAUUCAUUUAGUGAAAGAUCUUUUGAUUAUCCGAUUUAAGAAUGAAGAAUGGAAGAUUACGGAAAUUUCUCUACAUUCUUGUUUGUAUGCUGAUUGUGAUAAGAACAGAAGGAUUUUUAGUUGAUAUUACUUAUGUUCAGAGUGCUGUGGCAAAAGGAGCAGGGAAAACAUUAAGGUUUGUUUUGACGGUAGUCCACCGGCAUAUCGUUUUGAUAGGGGAUCUGGUGUAGGAAUUAACAAUUGGUUGGUUCAUAUCGAGGAAGGAAGAUAGUGCAACAAUGUCACUACUUGCCUUGAACGUAAAGACAAUCACCUAGGUUCCUCCAAGCAAAUGGCUAAGCAGGUUGUAUUUUCUGGGAUUUUGAGCAACAAGCUAAAGUUCAACCCAGGCUUCUAAACUUUACUUCAGAGGAGCAAGAGUUUUUGUUGCUAUCAUCGAGGAUUUGUUAGAAAAAGGAAUGAAGAAUGUUGAAAAUCAAGGCAUUCCCGGUGAACUAGUCAAGAAAUAGUUUGUGGGGCUAUGUGUUAUCUGUUACUUAAUCCGCCUUCACAAGCACCAGAGUGAUUUCAUUGCUACAAGCUGCAUAGCUCAAAAGCAAGCUUGCUAAUAAUCAGCUCAGAGCCUUGUAUUCUUUUAUUGUAUUUUCUUUGAAUCACUAGUCAUUUUUUUA
This is a long non-coding RNA of Olea europaea var. sylvestris, 1106 nucleotides long. RefSeq lists it as uncharacterized. The transcript is spliced from 7 exons. Lineage: Eukaryota; Viridiplantae; Streptophyta; Magnoliopsida; Lamiales; Oleaceae. The record is from RefSeq and is a predicted model, not a curated record.